Molecule: ribosomal RNA, 253 nt
Filed under: uncultured bacterium
Lineage: Bacteria
Description: partial 16S ribosomal RNA
Rfam family: Bacterial small subunit ribosomal RNA
Source: RNAcentral
GACAGAGGGUGCAAACGUUGUUCGGAAUUACUGGGCGUAAAGCGCGUGUAGGCGGCUAUGCAAGUCGGAUGUGAAAGCCCUCGGCUCAACCGGGGAAGUGCAUCCGAAACUGCAAAGCUAGAGUCUCGGAGAGGAUCGUGGAAUUCUCGGUGUAGAGGUGAAAUUCGUAGAUAUCGAGAGGAACACCGGUGGCGAAGGCGACGAUCUGGACGAUGACUGACGCUGAGACGCGAAAGCGUGGGGAGCAAACAGG